Molecule: non-coding RNA, 177 nt
Filed under: marine eukaryotic metagenome
Description: 6S / SsrS RNA
Rfam family: 6S / SsrS RNA
About the family: E. coli 6S RNA was the first non coding RNA to be sequenced, but its function was unknown until recently. It consists of 184 nucleotides that fold into an extended hairpin structure with a large single-stranded internal bulge.
Source: RNAcentral
GUCUGCGGUGUUCGUGAUGUAAAACUUUUGCUACCUUAUAUUUUCAGAAAGGAGUUCGUCCCUAGAAGGGGUGUGCAAGCCUUCCGUUGAGUAGGACGCCUAAACCUUUUAUCACAUUGCUCCACCUUGUUUGGCGAGGUAACAAUAGCCACUUUUUACACACGGCAUUGCGGGCUU